UACGUAGGUGGCAAGCGUUGUCCGGAUUUACUGGGCGUAAAGAGCGCGCAGGCGGUCGUUCAAGUCGCGUGUGAAAGCCCCCGGCUCAACUGGGGAGGGUCACGCGAUACUGAUCGACUCGAAGGCAGGAGAGGGUAGUGGAAUUCCCGGUGUAGUGGUGAAAUGCGUAGAUAUCGGGAGGAACACCAGUGGCGAAAGCGGCUUCCUGGCCUGUUCUUGACGCUGAGGCGCGAAAGCUAGGGGAGCAAACGGG
Molecule: ribosomal RNA, 253 nt
Filed under: uncultured bacterium
Lineage: Bacteria
Description: partial 16S ribosomal RNA
Rfam family: Bacterial small subunit ribosomal RNA
Source: RNAcentral